GGUGAGGUAAUCCUAAUGGUAAGGAAGCAGUUUGCUAAACUGUUAGUAGCCGGAAACGGUGUGUGAGUUCGAGUCUCACCCUCGCCGCCA
RNAcentral lists this transfer RNA (90 nucleotides) under Bacteroidaceae bacterium. RNAcentral's name for it is "tRNA-Ser". It matches the Rfam family "tRNA". From Rfam's summary of the family: Transfer RNA (tRNA) molecules are approximately 80 nucleotides in length. Their secondary structure includes four short double-helical elements and three loops (D, anti-codon, and T loops). Lineage: Bacteria; Pseudomonadati; Bacteroidota; Bacteroidia; Bacteroidales; Bacteroidaceae. The record is from RNAcentral.